This 253-nucleotide ribosomal RNA is filed under the name uncultured bacterium. RNAcentral's name for it is "partial 16S ribosomal RNA". It matches the Rfam family "Bacterial small subunit ribosomal RNA", at positions 524 to 776 of the family's 1533-position model. The record is from RNAcentral.
UACGGAGGGUGCAAGCGUUAUCCGGAUUCACUGGGUUUAAAGGGUGCGUAGGCGGGCAGGUAAGUCCGUGGUGAAAUCUCUGAGCUUAACUCAGAAACUGCCAUGGAUACUAUUUGUCUUGAAUAUUGUGGAGGUCAGCGGAAUAUGUCAUGUAGCGGUGAAAUGCUUAGAUAUGACAUAGAACACCUAUUGCGAAGGCAGCUUACUACGCAUAUAUUGACGCUGAGGCACGAAAGCGUGGGGAUCAAACAGG